GGAGGAAAAGAACUAACAAGGAUUCCCCUAGUAACUGCGAGUGAAGCGGGAAAAGCUCAAAUUUARAAUCUGGCGGYCUCUGGYYGUCCGAGUUGUAAUCUAGAGAAGUGAUGCCCGCGCUGGACCGUGUACAAGUCUCCUGGRAUGGAGCGUCAUAGAGGGUGAGAAUCCCGUCUCUGACACGGACUACCAGGGCUUUGUGGUACGCUCUCAAAGAGUCGAGUUGUUUGGGAAUGCAGCUCAAAAUGGGUGGUAAAUUCCAUCUAAAGCUAAAUAUUGGCGAGAGACCGAUAGCGAACAAGUACCGUGAGGGAAAGAUGAAAAGAACUUUGGAAAGAGAGUUAAACAGUACGUGAAAUUGCUGAAAGGGAAACGCUUGAAGUCAGUCGCGUUGGCCGGGRAUCAGCCUCGCUSUUUUGCGUGGUGUACUUUCUGGUUGACGGGUCAGCAUCAAUUUUGACCGCUGGAAAAAGGCUUGAGGAAUGUGGCAGCUCCGGCUGUGUUAUAGCUUCAUGUCACAUACAGCGGUUGGGAUUGAGGAACUCAGCACGCCGCAAGGCCGGGUUUCGACCACGUUCGUGCUUAGGAUGCUGGCAUAAUGGCUUUA
This 607-nucleotide ribosomal RNA is filed under the name Agaricaceae sp. PA280. RNAcentral's name for it is "eukaryotic LSU rRNA". It matches the Rfam family "Eukaryotic large subunit ribosomal RNA", at positions 52 to 642 of the family's 3401-position model. The record is from RNAcentral. Lineage: Eukaryota; Fungi; Basidiomycota; Agaricomycetes; Agaricales; Agaricaceae.